GCUAAACCAUUUAGAGCUUUAUAGGUCAUUAGCAAUACUUUAUAAUCAAUACGGAACUUAAUAGGUAACCAGUGUUUGAAAACAAUUUUCCUGUGGAGAAAAUGAAUGGACUUUUUAUUCCAGGAACUGAAUCGUUCAACUCUAUAGAACGGCACAUAAAACAUAAGGGAAAAAAAAAAAAAAAAAAAAUGUAAAUAAUAAUCAGAGGGUAUGCAUUGACGUCACUUUCCCGCUGAAACACGCUUCCUCAGCCAGUCUGAGUGGCGAAAGAGCUGCUGCAUGAUUGAAACGCGAGUAAAUCACGAGUAAAACAAACGAUUAAACUAAAAGUUGGACUCGAUAGAGUUUCUGUUAAAACUUACCAAAGAUUCAGUGAUCCAUGGAUAUUGACAUGCAGCGAGGAAUCGUGUUUCCAGACCUUUAUAUGUGUCUGAUCUCGACGCCGGGGAAACACAUAAAGCAAAUUUGCCUGUGAACGCUUUAUAUAAAUACAAUAUAGGCUUCAGUGAGAAUAUUGAGAUGCGUGCACAGAGCCAAGACAGCACAUGCCUGAAACAUCACACAAGAUUGUUCUGCAUGGAUCAGUCCGAGAAACUCAAAAGUACAGUCAAGGAACACAUCAGUGUCCUCCCGAUUCGAGCACAGUGACCUCAUUGACCUCCAUAGGCGUCUAUUGAGCUGCUCAUCACUCAAGGCAGGACCUCUGGCACUCUGGUUAUUACACUCGCCCGCUCUUCGCACAUUCUAUUGGACCGUUCACAUGGAAAAGCCAGACGGGGGCCGUGUGGAGCUUCUCUGAAGUGAAAAACAUCUCCAGCUGAGGUCCGCAUUGAAAUGAGAUUAGGAGAGGAGAUGAGAACGACAUGGCAUAAUCUACGAGUCCUUUCCCUUAACCCAGG
Megalobrama amblycephala (Wuchang bream) is the source of this 899-nucleotide long non-coding RNA. RefSeq lists it as uncharacterized. The record is from RefSeq and is a predicted model, not a curated record. The transcript has 4 exons. NCBI's taxonomy places the organism in Eukaryota, Metazoa, Chordata, Actinopteri, Cypriniformes, Xenocyprididae.